AAUCUCCUAAAAAGUAGC
This 18-nucleotide transfer RNA is filed under the name Sedum spiralifolium. RNAcentral's name for it is "partial tRNA-Leu". Lineage: Eukaryota; Viridiplantae; Streptophyta; Magnoliopsida; Saxifragales; Crassulaceae. The record is from RNAcentral.